CGGACAGUGUCUGGUGGGUAGUUUGACUGGGGCGGUCUCCUCCUAAAGAGUAACGGAGGAGCACGAAGGUUGGCUAAUCCUGGUCGGACAUCAGGAGGUUAGUGCAAUGGCAUAAGCCAGCUUGACUGCGAGCGUGACGGCGCGAGCAGGUGCGAAAGCAGGUCAUAGUGAUCCGGUGGUUCUGAAUGGAAGGGCCAUCGCUCAACGGAUAAAAGGUACUCCGGGGAUAACAGGCUGAUACCGCCCAAGAGUUCAUAUCGACGGCGGUGUUUGGCACCUCGAUGUCGGCUCAUCACAUCCUGGGGCUGAAGUAGGUCCCAAGGGUAUGGCUGUUCGCCAUUUAAAGUGGUACGCGAGCUGGGUUUAGAACGUCGUGAGACAGUUCGGUCCCUAUCUGCCGUGGGCGCUGGAGAACUGAGGGGGGCUGCUCCUAGUACGAGAGGACCGGAGUGGACGCAUCACUGGUGUUCGGGUUGUCAUGCCAAUGGCACUGCCCGGUAGCUAAAUGCGGAAGAGAUAAGUGCUGAAAGCAUCUAAGCACGAAACUUGCCCCGAGAUGAGUUCUCCCUGAGACUUAGAGUCUCCUGAAGGAACGUUGAAGACGACGACGUUGAUAGGCCGGGUGUGUAAGCGCAGCGAUGCGUUGAGCUAACCGGUACUAAUGAACCGUGAGGCUUAACCUUACA
This 686-nucleotide ribosomal RNA is filed under the name Salmonella enterica subsp. enterica serovar Infantis. RNAcentral's name for it is "partial 23S ribosomal RNA". It matches the Rfam family "Bacterial large subunit ribosomal RNA", at positions 2248 to 2925 of the family's 2925-position model. RNAcentral also lists the same sequence under 6 other names. Lineage: Bacteria; Pseudomonadati; Pseudomonadota; Gammaproteobacteria; Enterobacterales; Enterobacteriaceae. The record is from RNAcentral.